RNAcentral lists this ribosomal RNA (816 nucleotides) under uncultured bacterium. RNAcentral's name for it is "bacterial SSU rRNA". It matches the Rfam family "Bacterial small subunit ribosomal RNA", at positions 72 to 897 of the family's 1533-position model. The record is from RNAcentral.
AGCUUUCCUCGGAAAACUACUAGUGGCAAACGGGUGAGUAACACGUGGGGAUCUGCCCAGGAGUGGGGAACAACUCCGAGAAAUCGGAGCUAAUACCGCAUACGGUUUGGUCUGAAGAGGCUAAAACUAAAGCUUCGUGCAAGCGAGGCGCUUUUGGAGGAACCUGCGGCUGAUUAGCUAGUUGGUGGGGUAAAGGCCUACCAAGGCGAUGAUCAGUAGCUGGUCUGAGAGGAUGGACAGCCACACUGGGACUGAGAUACGGCCCAGACUCCUACGGGAGGCAGCAGCAAGGAAUUUUCGUCAAUGGGGGCAACCCUGAACGAGCAACGCCGCGUGGGCGAAGAAGUCCUUCGGGAUGUAAAGCCCUUUUCCCUGUGAAGAGCGAAAGACGGUAGCAGGGGAAUAAGCAUCGGCUAACUACGUGCCAGCAGCCGCGGUAAUACGUAGGAUGCAAGCGUUGUCCGGAAUUAUUGGGCGUAAAGAGCGCGCAGGCGGCCUUUCAAGUCAGAUGUGAAAUAACCAGGCUUAACCUGGUGGGGUCAUUUGAAACUGGGGGGCUAGAGUACAGCAGAGGAUAGCGGAAUUCCCGGUGUAGUGGUGAAAUGCGUAGAUAUCGGGAGGAACACCAGUGGCGAAGGCGGCUAUCUGGGCUGCAACUGACGCUGAGGCGCGAAGGCUAGGGGAGCAAACAGGAUUAGAUACCCUGGUAGUCCUAGCAGUAAACGAUGGAUACUAGGUGUUGGGGGAAAUUGACCCCCUCAGUGCCGGCGUCAACACAAUAAGUAUCCCGCCUGGGGAGUACGGUCGCAAGAUUAA